Long non-coding RNA from Dendroctonus ponderosae (mountain pine beetle), 965 nucleotides. RefSeq lists it as uncharacterized. The transcript is spliced from 3 exons. NCBI's taxonomy places the organism in Eukaryota, Metazoa, Arthropoda, Insecta, Coleoptera, Curculionidae. The record is from RefSeq and is a predicted model, not a curated record.
UGUCAUAUUUUCAUACAGCUCGCAGCUUUAUUUCAAUGCGUUUUGCCAUUUGCUAAUUUUGUGCCACUGGGACGAAUUUAACAACUGAUAGCUUGAAAUUGAUUUUAUGAAAGCCAUGAAUUCACCUUUCGUGGCAUGAUUAAGUGAUAGUUUUGUGGUUUUGGUGAAUUGUGAAAGUUUUCAAGAACAAAACGGUUUUGAACCUGAAACUUGACCCAAAGAAAACUAACCCCAGAACGAUGUGCUGAUUACUGAAACCUCGAAGGAACAACAGAGAAAAGACAAGAGCUUACAUCUUACGUCGAUAGUAAACAGACACAAUUAACUUCUGAGUAAAAAGUGGAAACAUUGAAGACUAUUUUGUCUGGAUUUAUUUUGGGAAGAAACAAAGAAAAUCACAAAAUCCAUGUUUGAGAGGAAAACUCUUGGGACUGACUCCAAUUGGAGUCACUAAUUGAAGGUAAAACGUUGUCAAGACAAGAUGAUGCGUUCAAGGCAACACUCGAGCAACUUGGGAAGAAACAGGCUAAUCUGUGAAGCUGCGAGAUUAUACAGAUAAAGAAGAGUUUUUGGACUGUUUGGAAGUUAUUUUCCUUUUAUUAAAUUGAGUUCACAUGCCGAAAAAAAAAUAGUUAAGGUCUGGUUACUGAAGUUUCGUCAUUUUGCACUUUUUCUCGAGCAUCAAAUCAAAGCAUGUAUCAGUUUAAACAGUUUAUUCCGGGCAUUUAACCCUUAUUUUAGCGUAUUUUUGCUUCACCCGAAAAUGCCACAAUUAGCACUUUUCCUGCAAAAAAAUUGCUUAUAAUAAAUUUUAAUUUUGAUGCCUAUCUUUCCGCGGAGUUCAUUGUUUUGUUUCUGGCUCCAUUUUCGGCCAUAACGAUAAGGUUUUGUUUGCCUUUAAUUUUGAGUGGGUUUUAUGGUCUUUUCUCCACCAAAUUACUUUAAAUUGCAACCGCAAAGUAAAU